ACCUCUGUGAACCCUGCGUAUCCACCACUGCUUUUCUCUUCAUCAAGCUGCAGUGCAAAGUCCAUUCCAAAGCUCUGGAAGAUUGUGCUGUAGAAGCAAAAGCAGCUGCUACCGGGGAGAUAAAUGGGACCUGGAAGACCCCAGCAGUUCUGUGGAAGAGAGCAGUGUGUGCUGACAUCUGAGCAUGUCUCUGGGGGAGUGUCCCUUACAAACUUCCAUGGGAUUGAAGAGAAAGCCCAGAACACUGAUGCUCUUCAGAGGACCCAGGUUCAAUUCCCAGCCCUCACACGGGAGAAUCAAUCACGCCGACUCUUCUGUAGAACUUAACGAGCAGAGACACAACCAUGGGGAAGAACAUGACUGGGAGCCUGUCCCUG
This 377-nucleotide long non-coding RNA is filed under the name Mus spretus (western wild mouse). RNAcentral's name for it is "lncRNA (ENSMSPG00010029992.1)". Lineage: Eukaryota; Metazoa; Chordata; Mammalia; Rodentia; Muridae. The record is from RNAcentral.